GGGGAUAUGGCUUAAUGGUAAAGUACUUGCCUAGCAUGCAUGAGGUUAUAGAUUCAACUAUUAGCAUUG
This 69-nucleotide transfer RNA is filed under the name Cricetulus griseus (Chinese hamster). It matches the Rfam family "tRNA". From Rfam's summary of the family: Transfer RNA (tRNA) molecules are approximately 80 nucleotides in length. Their secondary structure includes four short double-helical elements and three loops (D, anti-codon, and T loops). The record is from Rfam by way of RNAcentral. Lineage: Eukaryota; Metazoa; Chordata; Mammalia; Rodentia; Cricetidae.